This is a long non-coding RNA of Dermochelys coriacea (leatherback sea turtle), 521 nucleotides long. RefSeq lists it as uncharacterized. Lineage: Eukaryota; Metazoa; Chordata; Testudines; Dermochelyidae. The transcript is spliced from 3 exons. The record is from RefSeq and is a predicted model, not a curated record.
AGUGGCCAGCAACCAUACUGACCAGCAACCAAGAUGACAAGCAAAAGUGACCGGAAACCAAGCUGAACUGCUCACCUCUUCACUUCUCUGAAUUUCGCACAUUCAUGGAACAAGCCACUCCUGGAGUGCUGAAGGAAAUCCAAAUAAUCAGCUGCAACCUGGAAAUGUAGAACAGGAAUUGAGAUUCCCAGUAGUAAUAGAGGGAACCGCAGAUCAGAGCCACGUUUCUUGGAAAGCAUUGCCCUUGCACAGCCACAGGAGAGCGAUAGCAGAAGUUGGUCACAAAGCUCCCCUGCACCUUCUCCUUAAUUUACUCUAGUUCUGAAGACCAGGCUGAAAUCCUGGCUAUAUUGAAAUCAAUGGCAAAAGUCCCAUUGACAUCCAUUGAGCCAGCAUUAUACUCUAGGGAUCUACUUCAGUGAGAACUGCCACAUGUGGGUGCUGGCGCUCUAGGAGGAACCAGAAAGGCUCAUAUGGAAGUCAGCUGAGUGUCAGGAUCUUACUGUAUUGAGGAACCACUG